ACCUGAGUUGAAGUCGGACGCUUAACAGACUGAGCCACCCAGUUCUUUCUAGUCACUGGAAUUCUUUCAAAGAAGCAGUUGUAUGAAAUGGAAGACGACGGUAUAUUGAAGCAAACUGGAGAGAGGAUAAGGAUUGUCAGUGUUCCUCUCACGUGGCCCUUGAAGUCUUGGCCGACAAGAUCAUGAAUCUUGGUGUCACAGCACCUAUGCUGACUGCACACAGCUUGCUGAAGAUGUUGGUGCCACUCUCUGAGCAUUUGGGAAGGCAAUGCUGAGACGUGUCUGGUCCUACAUCUGCAAUCGUCUGAGAUCCAGACUUAGACACCCAGCAUGGUUGUCUAGGACACUAGUUUUUGAAGCUAUUGUUUUAAUCUCAUUAUGAAAAGAAGAAAUUAUGCUACUUUACUCCUUGUACAUCCGUGUUUUACGAGGCUCUCAGACUAUUAUCCUCCUAAAGUUCAGCCUGCUGACAUACCAACAAAUGGUAGGAUUUAGCUUUACACCAACUGAUUACCUUAAGAAUGGGAAAGGGCUCAGGAUCAUGUCUCACUCUGAGUUCAAAAAUUAGGCAGUAAUUUACAUUCUUGAAGUAUCAUUGAAAUCCUUGCAACAGAUGUCUUUUCUCCCAAAAUUGAAUAGAUGUGGUUAGAACCAUCCUUGUUCCUUUACUCAGGGCUGUCUGUGGUCAGUGGCAAACAGUUUAAUAUAGAUCCUAAUGGUAGAGACAACAUCGGUUAGUUUUUGUACAGGAUCCUGUCUUCUUAUUCAUUGUUGUAUCUUCAGAAUGAAUUAAUAUGUAAAUCUUAGGCUGUAUAGUAAUCAGUUCAUUCAUUUGAUUCAACAAAUAUUUAUUGAGAGCCUACCAUGUGCCAAGUACUAUUUGAGAUAUUUGGAAUACAUUAUUAAGACACUUGUCCUUGAAGAGAUUACAUUUUGGAAGGAAUGGAGGAACAGGCAAUAAACAUAACAAAGUAUAAAUAUUGUCAGAAGAUAUUAAAUUCCACAAGGAAUAAAACGAUAAGUCAGCAGGAUAAGGAGGAUCAGAGGAAGGGAUACAAGCAAGUUGAGAUACAACAACUUGAAGGCAGUGAAAGAGUUGGCCAAGCGAACACCUGGAAAAGGGCACUCCAAGCAGAUGGCACAGCCACCAGAGAAUAAUUUGGGUCUCAGAUAGUCAAGCAAGGAGGUCAACGUAGCUGAGGGAGAGUGCCGCAGGGGGAAAAUGGUAGGAGAUGAGGUCAGAAGUUAGCAGGUCAGGUCCAGAGGGACUCGGAGACCAUUUAAGAACUUUGGCUCUUACUCUGCAUGGACAUAGGGUGCUGCUAAAGGGCUCUGAGCAGAGGAGUGACAUGAUCCAAAAUUGGGUUUUGGAAGGAAUCCCUCCGGUUGCUGGGCUGAGAAGAGACGGUCAGGAGUGAGGGUAACCUGAGAAAGAGGACUAGGAGGCAAUGGCAGUAAUCCAGGUGAGAGGUAUUUUUCAGAGAUGAAAUCAGCGACCUUGGUUCCCCAUGAGUUAACUUACCGAUGCUAGCUAGCCCAGACUGAAAUGACUUUAUACAUAUGCUAAAUAAAUCUAUUUAGAUAGAUACAGCUCUGCCAAUACAUUUCACCUCGAGAAAUGCUCGGGUAUGCUUUUUAAUUCUUACAUUUUGUGAGCAGGUGGUACAAUGAAUGGACACCAACUUCAAACAAACUCCCAUAAGAACCAUCAGGACUAACUUACCCGAAAGGAACAUUCAAAUUCACAUCAAUCAAUAAUAGCUAAUAAUGGCCUCCGUUAAUUUGUUUUAAUUUUGACCGAGUGAUAAUAUUGCCAUCUUUUUUUUUUUUUUUUAAACAAUCCUUGAUGGAACUGCUACCUCUGUUGAACUCUUGAGUGUAUCUCGUCCCAAAGAGAAUGAUCAACAAAAUCAGUCCUGGAUACAUGCUAUACAUUCCGUUAUACCUACUCAUAGCUCAUCUGUGACAUAGCUUCUGAAUUAAAAGCAAAGAAAAAAAAAACAGGAAGAGAGAGAAUAAAAUAUUUGCUCACAUCUGGGAAGAAUUCAACUAAUUUCUUUAGCUGACUAAGGUGAUACAUAUUUGUGUAGAACCCACAAUAUAUCCGGUUCUUCAGGAGCACAUGAAGGACUGACCUGCAUUUAAACAAUCCAUUAUGGGGGCGCCUGGGUGGCUCGGUCAGGGUGCAGUUAGCUGUGAGGUGACAAAUAAGGACACAACGCACACAGUAAUGGAUAUUAGUGGAUGGGACCAGGAGCCAGGGGACCAGAGAAUCACGGAAUCACUCUGAAGCUUCUUUCCUCAAAUCCGUACCACCUUUUGAGCCCACCUGCACCUCUCCCUGAAACACCAACAGCUGGCAUGUGGAAUCCACUGGAAAAUGAAAUUGGAAUUCAGUAAUUAUGUCUUUUAAAUUA
Molecule: long non-coding RNA, 2417 nt
Organism: Lynx canadensis (Canada lynx)
Lineage: Eukaryota; Metazoa; Chordata; Mammalia; Carnivora; Felidae
Exons: 5
Source: RefSeq, a predicted model, not a curated record